Molecule: non-coding RNA, 1555 nt
Organism: Delphinapterus leucas (beluga whale)
Lineage: Eukaryota; Metazoa; Chordata; Mammalia; Artiodactyla; Monodontidae
Source: RefSeq, a predicted model, not a curated record
UAUGAAGGCAAUUUUUAUAAUCAUAUAAAUUCAUAUCUGAAAAAAAUCAACCUGGUUGCACACUGCAUUCACCUUGCUGGAAAUUGUGUACGCAUGGAGAAAUAGAAGAUCAGUGGAUCAUGAAGUGAACACUAAAGAGAUCACAGAAUUAUGUGUUGAGAUGGCAGAGUCACAGGAUGGAAGCAGGAUGGAUCUUGAACCACCACCUGGAGGACAGCCUCUUUGGAGAUCAUUCCACCUGUAUCAGAUCUGAUUCUGGUGUCAAGAGGGAUCUGAAGGAGACCCUGACAGCCCUGGGGGAGCAAGUAAUGAGCAAAUCACAAAAGAACAAAGACUGCACUUGAAGCUCGUUGGAAGGGACCAUACCGGGCCGCUACCCAGAUGGCAGCCAAACUUCAGGGCCUGGAACCUUGAUCCACAUAUCCCAGUUAAGAAGGGCUCCUCCAUACUCUUGGAACUGCACACCAGGUGGAGAUCUAAAAUUAAAAUGGACCAGGGAGGUUCCUCCCCAGAAGCAGAUGACGCCUUGAGGUGGACAGCUCUCCCAAGAUCACAGACCAAGAUCUUCAUCUCCAAUAUGAAACCUUUAUUUCUUUUGCCUUUUCACUACUUGCCUUUUCUCUCUAUUAAUGCCUGAGAAGAUAAUGCUCCUUAACUCUGGCAACUACCACUGAAUGGACUGCUAAGGUCAUAGCUGCACAAGCAAGGUCCCUAGGCUUUCUUGUUAAGGGGGGGUUUAGAUAAUAGAACUGCUUUAGAUCACUUAUUGGCUCAAGAAGGAAAAGCCUGUGCCACAGCAAAUACCUCCUGCUGUACCUGGAUCAAUACCUCUUGUACUGUAGCAAAUACAAGGCAUUAGCAAAUGAUUCACAUGGCUAAAACAGGUUGAUGUUCCUUUUGAUAAAUUCGUUGGUGUAUUUGAAACCAACUGGUUUGCUUCCUGGGGGCCCUGACUACGGAACAUACUUCAAUCUCUUGAUAUCAUUCUCUUGAUAGUCACCAUUGUAGUCUCCCUGGUGCACUGUAUGCUCUCGGGGAUACACGUUCGUAGCCAUCAGCUGUACAUCAGAUGGUCUCACUUCACUUGGAGAAACAAACAAGAUGAACAGCAAAAACCAUUCUUCCACAAACCUGACAUCGUAACCUCUGAUUUUCAUGAUGAGACAGGACUGCUUAACCCCAAUGGUGACUGACAGUGACACAACUUUUUGACGGGUCCCUCACGUCUGAGAGGAUCACCAAAUGAAGGGAGUCGUUAAAUAAAUGAAACAAGGAGGCCAUGAGACUCAGGUGGCUCUAAUGCCUCAGCAGCCUACCUUCCUAAGCAAACCCAGAUCUAAGUGUGAAUGCCUCAAGAUUAAGAAAUCAAAACCUUAGGACAACCAGUCACAAACAUCCAACUAGCCUUUCCGAAAGAAUGCAACUGCUUAAAGCUACAGCCAAUCACAUAGUUUCCUUGCUUUGCUUCUACCUUUUCUCUAUAGAAAUCUUCCCCAGCUCCUGCUGGUAGAGCACAUAACCCCUUCUAAUCUGGUGCCACCCGAUUUGAAUCAAU